Molecule: RNA transcript, 3327 nt
Organism: Populus nigra (black poplar)
Lineage: Eukaryota; Viridiplantae; Streptophyta; Magnoliopsida; Malpighiales; Salicaceae
Gene name: glutamate receptor 2.8-like
Exons: 6
Source: RefSeq, a predicted model, not a curated record
CACACAUAUGUUAUAGCUAGCCUAUAUGCUUGGUCUCUUAGCUAAGAACUACAUAUGAUCUUGUUUUUAUUUUCUUACGAAUAAAUGGCAAUUCCGAUGCAGAAAUUCACCCUGCCUUUUUUCACCCUUCUCUUGGUUAAUCUCUGGUCCAAGCAAAUGGUGAUCAUGGCACUGGAGAUUAUACCAAUAGGAGUAGUUCUUGAUUUGAACUCUACAGUUGGAGAAAUGGCACAGAGCUGCAUGUCCAUGGCAGUCUCCGAUUUCUAUGCUCUUAAUGUUGAUUUUAAAACGAGACUCGCUCUUUUCACUAGGGAUUCCAGCAGUGAUGUCGUUGCUGCAACUUCUUCAGUGCUGGAUUUAAUGAAGAAUGAACAAGUGCAUGCUAUCAUAGGGCCUCAAACGUCAUCGCAAGCUAAGUUUGUAACAGAGCUUGGAGGAAAAGCGGAUGUUCCGAUUGUUUCUUUCUCAGCCACAAGCCCAACCCUUUCUGCAACUCAAAGCAAAUAUUUUGUCCGGACAGCCCAGGAUGAUUCUUCACAAGUGAAAGCAAUAGCCAGCAUUGUCCAAGCUUAUGGUUGGCGGGAGAUUGUACUGAUCUAUGAAGACACCGAAUAUGGAAAUGGUUUGGUUCCAUUUUUGUUAGAAGCCUUCCAAGAGAUCGACACUCGAGUCCCUUAUGGCAGUAGAAUUCCAUUGUAUUUCAACGACACUCAAAUCAUGAGGGAGCUCAGCAAGUUGAAGGCGAUGCAGAAGAGUAUAUUUCUAGUGCACAUGUCAGCCUCCCUUGGGUCCAGGCUGUUCUUACUUGCCAAGGAUGCAGGAAUGAUGAGCGAAGGAUAUGCAUGGCUCGUGACAGCUGGAUUAUCCACCUUGUUAGAUCCUAUAGGUUCUGAAGUCAUGGAUUCAAUGCAAGGUGUGUUGGGUAUAAAGCCACAUGUACCAACUUCAAAGAAACUUGAAAGUUUUAAAUCAAGAUGGAGAAAGAAUUUCACCAUAAGCAAACCACAAAGUAAGAUCAAUGAAUUAAACCUUUUCGGUUUGUGGGCAUAUGAUACAGUUUGGGCAAUAGCAAUGGCUGUAGAAAAGGCUGGUAUUGUGCAUUCUAGAUACGUAAAGCCGAAUACUAGUGAAAGCACAGUUGACAUUGCUGCCUUGGGAAAAUCUGAAACGGGGCCAAGACUCCUAAGCUCCAUAUUAAGCACAAGAUUUCAAGGCCUAAGUGGGGACUUCCAUUUGGCUGGUGGAGAAAGGGUACCUUCAGCAUUUGAAAUACUCAAUUUGAUCGGAAAAUCAGAGAGAGUCAUUGGAUAUUGGACUCCAGAGAGAGGACUCUCACGAAAUUUGUAUACUAAUGGUAAAAUAGCAUAUUCAACUUCCAAAAACAAACUGAAGGAGCCAAUUUGGCCAGGAGACACAACCCAGCAGCCAAAGAGCUUGAGGAUUGGGGUUCCACUGAAAACUGGUUUUAAUGAGUUUAUCGAAGUGGAAUGGAAUCCUGAAGAUGAUAAACCUAUUGUUUCAGGUUUCACCCGAGAUGUUUUCGUCUCCGUGGUUGAAGCAUUACCAUUCCCCCUUCCGUAUGAGUUCAUUCCCUUCGUCAACAAAAAUAAGCAGAGUGCUGGGACUUACAAUGAUCUUCUCGACCAAAUCAAACUAAAGAAUUUUGAUGCUGCGGUGGGAGAUAUAACAAUAAUUGCCAAUCGCUCAACAUAUGUGGAUUUUACGUUGCCUUUUUCAGAAUCAGGCAUCACAAUGGUGGUUUUGACAAAACGUGAUGAGAGGGAAAACAUGUGGAUUUUCUUGAAGCCACUAAGCCUGGAGCUUUGGUUAACAACUGGAAUAGCAUUCAUCCUCACUGGCUUAGUGGUGUGGGUGCUCGAACACCGUGAAAACAAAGUGUUCAGGGGAAAACCAGCGCAACAACUUGGCACAACGUUGUGGUUCUCCUUUUCAACCCUCUUCUUUGCACAUAGGGAGAAGGUGGUGAAUAACUGGACAAGAUUUGUAUUGAUCAUAUGGAUUUUUGUGGUGCUAAUCAUAUCACAGAGUUACACUGCUAGCUUAGCCUCAAUUUUGACUGUAAAGCGGUUGCAGCCUACAUUUGUUGAUGUCAAAGAGAUUAGAAAGAAUGGUUACUUUGUAGGACACCAGAAGGAUUCUUUUGUGAAAGACUUCCUCGUUAAACAAUUGAACUUCAAUGACACCAUGUUGAGGGAAUAUAGCACUCCAGAAGAGUAUCAUGAUGCAUUGUCUCGUGGAACCCACAAUGGUGGUGUAGCUGCUAUCUUGGCUGAAAUUCCCUACAUCAAACUCUUUCUAGCAAAGUAUUGCUCCAAAUUUCAAAUGGUAGGACCAACCUACAAAACCGAUGGAUUUGGCUUUGCAUUUCCCCUUGGAUCCCCACUGGUCCCUUACAUUUCAAGGGCAAUCUUGAAUGUCACACAAGAUAAAGAUAAAAUGGACGAAAUUCAACGAAGGAACUUAGGUGGCGAAACCACUUGCUCAGAUCAAGCUGCCAUGGUACCCUCUGGUGGUCUUGGUUUACCCAGCUUCGGAGGCCUCUUCAUCAUCACAGGAGUUGCUUCCAUGUCUGCGCUUCUGAUAUAUGUCACGAAGUUCCUUUACAUUCAUUGGCCUGCUUCGAACACCAUGGAUCGAGAAAGAUCCUUUUACUUGAGAGUUCUUGAAUUGGCAAAACAUUUUGACAAGGAAGAUCCAUCAGCUCAUCAUCUUAAUGGAGCUGGGUCAAGAGUUCACCCUGUACCAAGUGUUGAAAUAGUUGGAGCUUCACGUGAUAUCGAUGAUGCACGUAGCCAUUCAAGGACUUCCAGUGAAGGAUCUGGAGACAUCAUUGGAGAUCAAGACCAUGACAAUCAUACCCCAAGGAGCAGUGCUGCAAACCCCGAACCCCCACACACACCUUAGGCACUGCAUCCUUUGUUUUUAGGGAAGUAACAAUGCUAAUUUCCAAUGACAGUAGUGGGCUUCAGCUGGUGCUCAUAGUUACAUUCACUGGUUACGGAUUGGAGAGAUAUUUAUGGUUUCAUCAAGUUUUCUUUCCAAAAGCAUCCCACAUUCCAUUUCAAUUGUCUGGUUCGGACAAUGAUUGAUGCUGUAUUUUCUCAUUAUCUAUGUUAGCAAGGCUGCUUUUUUCUGUGCUGGUUUUCCUGAUGCCAAGGCUGGCUCUGUCGUAAUUCUUCAAAGCUGAGUUAAUUUCCUUGAUACUUAUGGUUUUUCUGCGUUUGCAUUAGUUGACAUUGCUGGGGAUAAGGAUAUGUAUUGCCUGAUUGAAUUAGUUUUCAUUGUUGAUAAUAGAAUUAUACAGAG